Molecule: RNA transcript, 15065 nt
Organism: Ailuropoda melanoleuca (giant panda)
Lineage: Eukaryota; Metazoa; Chordata; Mammalia; Carnivora; Ursidae
Exons: 2
Source: RefSeq, a predicted model, not a curated record
CGCGCUCAGCUGCGGAGCAGGGCGCCGGGCGCCUGACUGGAGCUCGGCGGGCGGGCGACGGUGGAGGGAGGACGGGAGGGUCCCGGCGCGGAAGGGUCUCGAAGGGGUAGAGCGACACCAGGGCUGGUCGCCGGCCGCCCCGAGGGCAGUCCCAUAUUCCCCCCGGUGUCGGCCGCUCCAAGACAGCAUCUGUCAACGCUCUUCCUCAGUGCUCCUCCUUUGGCCGGGCCGGGCUCCGCUGGCGGCGCCUGGGAAGACGCGGGACCCAGCGUGACGAGCCCAUCAGCUGUCAGACGAGCUGCGAAGCGACCCGAGGGCGGCGAGAGACACACAAAGAACGCGCCCUGGAGAGUUGCUGUAGAAGAGGGAUAAGAGAGGAAGACAACGCAGGAGGAGAGAAGGCACUCUGGACACAAGGGAAGAUCACACUGCUAAAUAGUAAUUAUUGAGCAGAGGGGAAAGGGAUAAGGGAAGGAUGCAGACCGCAGUCCUGCUAGUAACCUAGGUUUCCCCACGUAUCACCCUGGUUCAGGUGCUGUCUCCUCUACCCUCCUCCCUUUUCAUACCACUUGAUAUACUAUUUUUUGACUCACUUUGAGAAGACACUGAUUAUGUAGUCUGCCUCAAAAUGUUAAUCCUGGUUUUGGAUUUUAGUAUCUGUGAUCCUCAACUUUGCAGUAGCUUAGAGACAGUUAUCUCUCCUCUUGGCAUCUAGCCUUUGGAGUUAUUGAAGGGAAGAGAUUUCUAUCUCUGACCCCAAAGAAGUAGAUCCAGAAUCCAACUCCAAAUUUGCCUUUUCAGAGAAGUGUAUGCCAUCAAGACAUGGCAAUGUGAUGAGAGAGGCCACUCUCCCCUGACUUCAAAGAAUACAUUUACUAUCUAGAGCUCUUAUACUUUUCAAAGUACUUUGUCUCUCAUUAGCUCACUUUUUCCUUACAGUCGUGUAAAAUAUCAACAUUAGUAGACACACAGACCCCUAUGAGGCCUGUCAAAUCUUUUUCUUCUCCCUUCCUCCAUUCUCUUGCAAACCUACUGCAGGGCUAGUCUUUGCUAUCUUCACAUGAUUUUUCUUAAAAUCGAGAGCCUUUCGUCACUUUCUAUAUGUCCCCCAUAUGAGAUUGAACCUCCUCUGCCUGGUUUAUGUGGUGGCUUUAAAAACCGUGUCCCAUCCUACUCUAAAUAUAUUCUCCCCGUAGUUCCUGGAAUAUGGCCUACUCACUCACCACUGGGCCUUAGGCCAUAUUGCUUGCUUCAUUAGUGAUGCCUUCUCUUGAACCACCUAGAUUCUACCCAUUCUUCAAUUUCCAGCUCCUCCUUGGAGCCUUCACAGAUCAUCAGUUCCUUAAAGAUUCCAUCUUGCUCUGAACUCCAGUGGUAGCCACGGCUAUUUGCUCAAUUAUAACCUGUUCUUAAAAUCCUAAUGGAGAAAAAUUAUGGCAUAAAUUUGAUAUAGAGAAGAAAGCAGUAGACUAAUAAGUUUUAAAGACUUGAUGUCUACUAAAGAGCUGUGGGAGCAAAGCCAAUUUGCUCUACCUUCGUGGUUCUACAUUUUCUUAGCGUAAAUGUAGAAAGGUUUGGGUCAGAUUAUGUUGGUGGUCCCUUCUCAUUCUGAGGCUCUUAGACAACUUGGCCUUCCCGAUGGGAUUCUUACUGAGUUCUUGGAUGAAAAUGUCAGGAGUGGACACUCAGUGUCUUCAGGACUUAUUCUGUCCCACAGAUCUCUAUUGUUAAACUUGGCAGUUUUUGAAUGCCAUGUACCUUUUUUGGUAAGCUUUUUAGCCACAAGCAUUCAGGGAAGGUUAGUGGGGGUGAAUUAGGAAGCAAGAUGAUGCGUUAGGGAUAAUACAGAGUUAUCUUAUGAGCGACUUCCUAUGACGGAAUAAAUAGGGUCAGCUAUUAGAUAAACCUUAAGUGUUAGCAUUUAAAAUUUUGCAUUUCAUCUUCAUUGGGUAGUGCUAUAUAUUAAAUACAGUUAUAUUUUCUUUUUAAUCAUUUCAUAAAUUGAAAAACAUUAAAAAAGUCAAACUCUAGGAUAGGCACUAGAUGACUUUCCAUAGUAAUCUGGUGGGUGACAUGUAAAUCUACACCUGUGUAUAUAUAUCACACGCAUAUUACACUUAAACUAAGAAGGGUAUCCCUAAGUUAUAAGGUGCUAUUAUGCAUUGACCAGAUUUAAGAAGAAUAUCUCUUUAAAAUGUGUUGACAUUUAAUUGACCUUUGAAAGUUCAUUCUGUUAAUCAUACUCAAAGUGCUAAAGCUAUGGUUGACUGCUCUGGUGUUUUUACAUUCAGUCGUGCUUAGCAUAUAAAUUCUUCAGCAUAAUUGCUACUUAUUUAGCAAGAGUUUCCUUUCUUCUCUGAAAAUAUGAGUUGUGUUUUAUUUUUGUAACUUCUUUUUUUUUAAACUUUGCUUCAGGCUGGAUAGUGUUAGAGGUUUGAAUUGAAAUGCUUUCCUGUCAUUAGUUGUAUGGGGUGUGGCUUCUUAAUAUAGGAGUAAUGGAAAUUUCUUGCUUAGUGGAAGUCUGAGGUAUGCUGCUAAAAUUUAGAAAAGCUUAGCACCUCAACACUACAUAUUUUUAACAUAAUAAACUUUUGAAAAUCUUUCAGUUCCAUUUGUGUAGAUUAAAAUUAUCAAUACUAAUACUUCUUAUUAAACAUGGAUUCAAAGGAUUUGUUUUCAUAGCAAACUCUAAUUAUAUUCCUUGAAUCACUGUGAGUGGAAUUUAAUUUUACUAUAAACGAUGUCCAUGUUUUUAAAAAGUCAAAUAUGUUUCUUUUUUAAAGCUUAACAUUUUAUUACUAUCACCUAGAGAACAUCUGCUGAAUUGUUUAAAAAUUUCUGGGUAUUAAAUUUAUGAAAUCAGUCUAUGGAAAUAAUUUUUAAUAUGGUUAGCUGUCUUACAGGCUUCUAAAUUAAUAUUCCUAGUGAUCAUGGAAAAGUAGCUACACUUUUUGCUAAAUGUUAAUAGAAAAAUAAAGCCAUAUAAUUUCCGAUUUUUUGCUAAUUUAUCUUUGACACUCCAGAUGUAUUUUUCAAAAUAUUUUUAUCUUAAAAGCAGUUUUUAAAUAGAAAAGAUAAAGUUUAAACCAGAGUUUUUUAUUUUCAUGAGGUCAAUUUAUACCUUUCACGUAUGUAGCUCCAUAUUUGAGAUAUAUUUUGUUCUUUGUUUGGAUAAGUUUUAAUUUCAUUUUAUCUUUAUUUAUUCAUGUAUUAUAAGCAUGAUAAACAGUCUCAUCUCAUGAAACUGACCUUAUUUUCUCAUCAUUCUCUCUCCUUCCCUAUUGUCCUUUUUUUCCGCCUUUUUCUGUUUCUAGUUUUACGACUUACAGCUGUCCUUUUCAUCUCAUUAUAGCCCCACCUCCAAGGGAAAAUAAGUUUUUUUGCCUUAGUCCAAACAUUUAACUUGAAACUCUAUCCUUUUUUAGAAUAUACAAUGAAGCCUCUUAAAUAAUAUUAUUUAAAUAAUGUGUAAAGAAUUCAAAUGACUACAAUGCUGAAUAGUCAGAUAUAGAAUAUCCCAGACUAGGGUGAACUCUUACACUUCCAUUUGUAAACUGGUUUCAACAGAUAGAUUUAUUUCUUCCUUGAUAAUCAAGUAUCUCAAGACCAGGCCAGAAUUGGUUAAAUACAAAAUGUUUAGAUAAAGCCUGGUUCCUUGGGUAAUCUCUCUUAGCAAUUCAACUAGAUUGAUGACACAUACUGACAAAAUCAAGACAUUUGUUCUUCUUUUCUAUUUGAAGUCUGUUUUACCAACAUACCAACAUCAUUCUUUCAUUUACCAAACGCUGUUCUAAACACUUUACAAGUAUUAGUUUCUUUAAUUAUCUUGACUCUAUAUUUAUGGUUAUUACUGUAUAAUUAUAAUCAUUGUGCAAUUGAGAAAACACAGAGUUUUAUUUUAAGGUAGGCCUUAAGUGAGGGGUGACUGAUAAGUGUAGGCAGAGUGGGUAACUUAGCAGUAGUGCUAAGAAUCAACAAAAAGAUGUGCAAGAGUUUUGGAAAGAGGAGUGUACAUGGAAAGGGUCAGGGACUUAGCUCAACCCAGUCUUAAAGAGCAGUAUGUCUUCCUUCCUCAAUUUUAAGCCUUGGGCUAUAGAAUCAAAAGCCAAACUUAGAGGAGACACUCCUCAGUCCUGGGAAGUGGUCAUUGCAUCAGAAGUGACCAUUGCCAUGGGUUUCAGCUGCAUGGCAUGAUGAGGUAGGCUCCACUGGCUCAUUGUGAUUCUCAUAGGGUUGCAUGGACCUUUAUGCCUUCCCUCAUCCUAGCAUUUCUCAGGACAAGCUUCUUUCUUCCUACAGAGUUUGGCUUCUCUCUCAGCUGGAAGUUUGGGCAUUGCAAAUACAAAUGGUGAAUUUUUUUUCCCAGCCUUAACCCCAGCCCACUCCAUUCUCUCUUCUUGCCCUAAUUUGUGCAUGACUUUGAAAAUAUUAUUCAGUAGUGUUUACAUGUGUGUGUUGUAUGAAGUUUAGGGACUGAUGUUAAGCAAUGAGAUUAAAGGACAAAGUUAUCUUUUCUGUUGAAAUUGGAGAUUGAAGAAGAUGAGAGAACAGCUGAACACAGGAAAUAUGAGAAAGGAGAGAGACAUCAUGGAAAAGAAGAGAUAUGUGGAGGAAAAAAAGAUGGUGAAAAAAUGAAGAAAGAGAAUUACUGAUUUGCUUCACACCCACACCUCCUCCCCAACUUCACGGUAACAGAGGCAGUUACUCUCUCUUUUGCCUGACGGGAGGUUCACCAGGAAGUUAUGCGCCGUGGGAGUGGAAAAUUUCUCCCUUUUGCAUUUUGAGACUUGGGUGUGCUGCUUUGAGAUGCCACUGGUAUCUAAGUAAUAUUUGUUUAUACUGGAUAUUUUUCUCUGUAGCCUUUGUGGAUAGGGCUUAGAAUACAAACAAUACUGUUAGCAGAACUGUAGGUACUCGAUUGCUAUGUUUAUUUUAUUAGUUAAAAAACUGCCAGAGCCCUAGGACUUCUGAGUACAUUUAAGAAAUACCAGAGGCAAUUUUAAGUAGUGCUUUGGAAAGAAAAAAUAAGAAAAGUUAGGACUUUCAAGGCUCUAGAAUGCCAAACGAUGUUGGUAGGUUUUUUUUAGAUUAAUGUCUUCAAAAACUCUAAAUUAGGAUAGUUUCAUUAAUUAUUUUUUAAAGUGAGUUUAAAGUACUCUUCUUGUAUAUAAGCCUUUUGUUGGUAGAUAACUUAGGUAAAAUAAGUGUGGCACUUUUGUUGCACAGGCUGUAAAACUAAGAUUAAUUCUUCAGGGAAUUUCGGAUUUUUUGGAUGCUGCUUAAAUCAUCUCUAAUGACUUUUUUUGGUCAGAUCACAGGUCCAAAAGUAUUUCUCACUGAUUUACAAUUGUAUUGGGACAGAAUCACUGAAAUUGUGAUGUUCCUGGAAAAUCUAAAAUAUGGUCACUUUUACCCUUAAAUUUUCUGGAAAUUCAUUUUAUGGUCCCCUGAAGUCUCUCUCUUUAUUCUGCUCUCUGUAGAAAGUUACAUAGUUGUAUUUAUGAAAAACACCCAGUUUAAAAAAUAUUGAACUAAUCAAAUGAUAAAAGUAUUGACUUGAAGACAUUAAUUUAUUUUUAAAUGGCUAUUCAUUUCUCAGGGAGAGAGCUCUGGUCUUAACAGGUUCGAUUUGAUCCCCGUCAGUAAAAUAAAGUUAAGAUUUUUUUUUUCCUCAGUCAUUGCAUGGCAGUAACAUAUUGUUCAGACAUUUCAAGAAUCACUAACAAAUUACCCUUUUGGAAUAGAAAGGGAGAAAGGGGACUCUUCUUUCUCAUUUGUUCUUUUUCAUUUUAUCCUUUCCCAUUCAUGGAAAUUUUUACUUUCCUCCACUGUUCAUCAAAAGUUCCCCAUUUGUACCUCCUAGAUUACUAUCAUACUAAGUUUUCUUAAAAUUAGGCAGAAACAGAACCUGGCCCUUUAGAAGCUAAUGGAAACCAUCCCACGUUUUCUCAGACUCUCUUCCCCAGAGGCAAGAGGAGCAAAAAAGUAGUUGGUGGUUUGUCAUUGUUGCUUCUGCCGCUGUCCUGUUUGGUUGACCUAAGCUUUUUUACCUCCAUUCUUAAUGCUGAAAUCUACAAAUGAAAUUAGGGCCAGGCACGCUGUAUUUCCCUCAUCAGCUAUCCCUAGUGGUUCAAAUUUAGCACAAAUCUGUGAGCACAUAUUAAUUAGGCUAAUAGAAUAGGAUUAAAUGAUAACAUGAGUUUUUCAAUAACUAUAUUUUGAAUUGAAGUGUGGUUUUAUCUUAUGAGUUUGCAGUUAUUUUGUUGGAAAUCUGGAAAAUCCUUAUGUGAGCAACUAAGCUACUGAUAGCCCCAAACAGUAUAAGUUAAACAUUAACUUGCAGUAAACUGCUGAAGUGUCUUUGAUUUUGAGAUGCAGUGAGCUAUUUCAAAUUAAGUUGUCCAUUUCUAUGUGGAAUGGUGUGGAAAUCUUGCAACCUGAUUUCAAGGUUGGACUCUGAAUAAGAAUAUUUUGUCUCUGUUUUCUAUGCUAUGUCACUGUCACAGGCAUAAAGUGGAUGUGCCUCUAUUCUUUUGCUCCUUAUAACCCAAUUCCCAUGCCAGACAGUAUUGGAGGCAAUUAAGUUCUUCUAUAGAAAACUUCAUAAGUCAGCUACUAACUACUGUGUCUGUAAAUAUACUCUCAAACUAUUUUGUAGUCCUGCUAUUUUUAAAAAUGUGUGGGUGUGGGAAGUAAUGGUGAAUGAAGUCAGGGUAAUUGGUGCUUCUUUGUAUUAAGAAAAAUCACACUACUUAAAGGAAGUCUGCUUCCAUGAUUUGUAUAUGCUUAAUUUUUAAAAAUUCUUCUAACCCUCUCCCAUUUCAGUUCCUACCCCUACUUCAUAAAUUAAAGCAAUGAAGGAAUUAGAGUCAUAGGAUUUUAUAGCUGGAAGGAUUUUAGAGAGAAUCUGAUUAACUCUCUUAUUACACUUGAGGAAAUUGAUGUUCAGUGAGGUCAAAUGAGAUCAUGUAGCUGUUUAAAAGCCCAAAUGACAUUAGUAGUUUAUUUCCAUUAGUAAACAUGUUCUGAUUAAUCUCCCUUAACAUGUUCAUAAUCACAAGGAAAUAAUAAGGAUAAAUAACUAACAUGUGUAUGGCACUCUCUCAUAUAUAUCUGUCACUUCUCAGAAGAGCUGUGUAAGGUAUAGGUACUGUAGUUCCCGUCCACAGAGCAAAAGGGCUCAGCAGUGUUCAGAGAUCUGUCCAUGCCAGUCUCUAUCAAAAGGGCCCAGGGCUCCCUGUCUUCCCACCUUGGCAGAAGCAUCAGCUGGUCUCAAGACAGUUCUCAUAUCUUUAUACCAUAGUUUUGGCUCUAAGCUUGGUCCAAUUAUUAACUUUGGUCUAUUUCAUCACUUUUAAAGAGGAAAAAAAAAUUUAAAGAGCUAUGAGCUUAUAAAUUUUUCAAAAGAAAGAUGCUGAGUAAUUGUAAAUAGGGGGCUUUUAAGAAUCUCUUUAUUGACAUUUUAAAAAUUCAGCCAGUAUAUAUUGAGUACCUUACUAUGUAUAAGGCACAUAAUGGGCUGCUCCAGUAGACAGAAUAGUGAUUGGGGCAGAAUCAUGGCUUUCAGGGAAGAGGCUCAUGCAAUUGUCUCUCCUUUCAAAGAUUUACCUAGAUAGAAAACUAUUCUUGAGAAAUGUCUGAUACUGUCUCUGUUACUCUUGAGAUAAGAGAGCUACUAUAGUUGACCCUUGAAUGAUGUGGGGGUUAGUGGUGCCAAUCCCCUGCACAGACAGAACUCUGUUUGCAACUUUGACUUUCCAAAACUUUACUAAUAAGCCUGUUGACCAGAGUCUUACUGAUAAUACAAACAGGCAGUUAAUACAUAUUUUAUAUAUUGUAUGUAUUAUAUACUGUAUUCUUAUAAUAAAGUAAGCUAGAGAAAAAAGUUAUUAAGAAAAUCAUAAGGAAGAGAAAAUACAUUUAUAAUACUGUGCUGUAUUUAUCAAAAAGAGUCGUGUGUAAGUGGACUCGUGCUGCUCAUACCCUUGUUCAAGGGUCAGCUCUAAUUCUUAUGUCUGAAAUGGGCCAUUUUCUUCUGAUUAUUUAUAUUCAAGUAUUCACAUUCAAGAAAACUUUUGAAAUACAGAAAAAUAGAAAAAAAUCAUAUGUCUAUUCUGCAUCUUACCAUGGUAAUAUUUAUAUCGUACAUAUAGUUUUUUUCUUGGCUUUUUUUACCUGAUGGGAUAGCUGAUGUUCUAUAUCAUUGCAUGCCUUUGUAAACAUGUUUUAAUGAUUACAUAAUUUCAGAAAGAGUCAGUUUCUAUUGUGUCAAUAAUCUGGCUAUUCUAUGACAAUUACAGUUGUUAUUUUAUACAAAAUGAUUAAUCAAAGUCUCUAACCUGGACUACUACUAAGAAAUACUUUCUUAAAGUAUUUGAAAAAAAUAAUGAACCAAGUAACAGAUUAUUUUCUGUUCUUUAAGAGCAUCAGAAUCAUUUUAUUUGUUUAAAAUAUCUAUAGAAAUAUCAACUAUGUACAGUUGACUUACAUUAGAAAUGGAUUUUUUAAAUGUGAAAUUUGUAAACAAAUAUUUUUUAAAUGUAGUUUCCAUUAUAGAAUUGUGUUCCUCUGAAAUAAUUUCUAAUUACUGUGAAGGUAUAGACUAAUCAUGUUGAAUUUUUGCUAUUUGGGGGAAUUUAAUCUGACAGCUUUGAUUUGAAAAAGAAAAAAACCAAGGACUUCUGAAUUCUGCUGUGGCAUUAUUACAGUGAAAUUUAUCUUAAAUUCACCUAAUUGCCCUCUAGAAAUAUGAUCUUAUAUUUCAACAGGACUGGGAGGGUAUUCCUAGGUGAGAGUUGCUCUUUGUGAAGAGUCUAAUGGAACCCUGAGGUGGGGAAGAGCUGAGCCAGCAGGUUGUCAGAGGGAUGCAGCCUGGGAACUGCUGACAGUUAUGUGCCUGAGGGAAGGGAAGGAGAUGAGAUGAGGGGAGUUGGAUGGAAAGUCCCUUAUUAGCCUGAAGGCUAGGAUGCCCUGACCCUUGGAAUCCCCCUCCCUAGUGAGAAAGCCAGCCAGAGUAGGAGGGGAAAGCCUGGGGCAGAUGGGGGAGUAGGGUACUAACAACCAAAAAACUUGGAGAGUUCCUUUCUGGGGAACCCUGGCGUAGACUGUAAAUCAGUAUAUUUUAAGGAAGAGUUUGGCAAAUGAGUAAAUAUAUGUCUGCUGAAAUGAGUGACUUAAUGAAUUGUUUUAUCACCAAUCAGGAUAUUUGUUCCUCCUCUUAACAUUUUUUUCAUUUAUUAAUUUUUUUAUGCCCAGUUUAUCAUAUAAACACAAUUUUUAUUGAAUUUUCAUUAACUACCUCAUAUUUAUUCAAACCAACGCCUUCCCCAGUUCCACGAAUGAUUCAGAAGAGCUUACAAUAAGCAAAACCUCAGGAUAGGAAAGUGAGUGUGUGAUUCCAGCUCUCCAAGCCUAGUGUUCCCAUUUGCACGAUGAUCAUGAUAGUAAAUGUUUCAUCAUACCAUGGCAGGGAGGAGAUGAGAUAGUGCAUAAACAUUGCAUGGCAUACAACAAAAAUGAUAUAUUAAAGUUAAGGCUAUAAACUUGAUACACACAGUUUAUCAGGCUUAAUUCUCAGUUUAUUUCUCACUACCAUUUUAUUAGAGAAUGUUAAUUGAACAAAAAAUACUUGUUUUAAUUUCUGAAGUAGAAGAUUUUAUUCUUUGUAACUAAAUCCUUUAGAUGCAAGAUACUGUUUGUUUUCCUAGAAUUUGAGUUUCUUAAUCUUCCAUGUAUGCACAAUCCAUGCGAAAAUGUUCCUAGUAAAUUCCUAUAUCCUUCAUCCAUUUUCAACAGGCAACAAGCAGAUAGGUCUGUAUUUCUUUCUUUUUUUUUUUUAAUGUAUUUAUUUAUUAGAGAGCACAGGCAGGGGGAGCAGUAGGCAGAGGGAGAGGAAACAGCAGACUCCCCGCUGAACAGGGAGCCCGAUGUGGGGCUUGAUCCCAAGACCCUGGGAAGGCAGACGCUUAACCGACUGAGCCACCAAGACGCCCCUAUAUUUCUAUUAAUCUCCAAAAAAAGCAAGGAGAAGUUCAUCAUCAUUGUCAUUAACAAGAAAUAAAAUGAGAAUUAGAAGCCUUACUUACUGUGAACCAGUAAGUAUAAAGUAUAAAUAAAAGAAGGUGAAGAUGAAUUUUGAAGGUCAGAAUUUUGUUUGUAUAUUUAUUUUACUUCCAUUCCAGAAUCAUUUCUAUGUAUAUGCUUUCUACAAAAGGAAACAGAAACUCUUUGUUUCUUGUCUUUAGAUGGGUUUUCUGAAGGAAAGGAUAGAGUCCAAAUACGCAGUUGCCUGGGACCUUGGCCCCAGAGAGAUGGUAGGUGGAAGGAAGCAGAGCAGAGCCUGGCCACUAGGCCCUGUGCUGACAUGAAGCACCCACUCCUUGGGUGUUCUGAAUGAAAACAUUCAGAGACCAGAACAGAUGGAGGUUAGAUGGAGGAGAAAGGUGGAACCAGAGGGAGAAGCCUCACUCUAGUGAGGUAAGGUCACCUCCAUGUACCUUUGCAUUUCCAUGGCCAAGGGAAGUCCUAGUAUAAAUAAAUAAAUUGACAAGUAAAGUAAUAGUAACUUCCACCACCUGUUGGUAAGUGCCUAAAACCUUAAUAUUCAAGUAUGGGCCAUUUAAUUUAAAAAGUCUAAUGUAUUAAAAUCCAGAGAAUUGUGUGUAUGAGUGGAAGGAGGGGAGCUUGAGUGGCUGUAAUAUUUUAACCUUUUCUUAGUUAUACAUAGUUUAGGAAAAUGCAUAAUUAUAAAAUCAGUAAGAGGGUUCAAGACGGAAUGGUUCAGUGUAGCUAAGAAAAAAUUUUAAACUAAUUGUUACUAGUCCUAAACUACCCAUCCCAAGAAGGAAUUAAUCCUUCAGAGAGUUAAAACUAAUAUGAGGAAGAUUAUAAAAACUGAUUAGGGCAUAGACAUCCAGAACCGCACUUUUGGGUGGAGAGACUUUUCAGACCUAUCUAACAGGGCUAGAGCAGCCAGCAUUUCUGUGGUUUUGAACAAACUAAGUUUUUUGUGAACAUUUCCAGGGUUAUUUAAGACAAUAUAUAGUAUCUGAUGUAUUGGACACAAUUGAGUCUUACUCUGUCAUAUUUGUUUUUAAUUCAUGAUUUUUAAAUGGAUUUACUGGUGCUAUUUCUCAAAUAGUCGGAAGGGUUUUUAGUCUCAAGCAAGUUUAUUUAGUUUCGUCUUUCUAGAUUAAUAGUUCUCUGCCAGGAACAUAUAGCAAAAUCAUUUGAUAGAUUUUGCAAAAUGCACACACUCAGCACCCUCCCCUUCUGAAUAAGAAUUGCAAAAUGGAUGGGGCAGGAGGCAGUCCAGGUAUGUGGGGUUAGAAGAAACUGUCCUGAUACUUCCAGUGCCACCUUCUCAUUUUGAGAAUUGCUGUCCUAAAUGGAACCGAUACUGUUCAAUUACCAGGAAACAAGCAAAUAGCUUAAAUAACGUUGAGUCUCACUUAAACUGGCAAAAUUGUUCAGCACCUUGUUGGGAUAAAUCUGCUUUACCAUCCACGUAGGUUUCAUCCAGCUGGUAUCUUGCCAAAAAGGAAGCCUGUGUAUACAGGCAAUGAAGUGUACUAUACUGAUGCUUGUUGAAUACCCUUCCGUUGAUGCACCCUUGUAACUUUUUAUCAUCUUCCAUGCUUUGCAGAAUUUUUUAUGUUUAUUCAUAGAGCUCUGAGCAAAAGACUGGAUGUUCAAAGUUGUGCUAAGGUUUAAGACCUCUUUCACAUGUUUGUACAAUUCUUAUUUCAGGUUGUUUGCCUACUAUGUACUAGUGACUUACCGUUUUUAAUUGUUAAGUGGCAAGAUUCCAAGACAAGUAGGAGAUCUGUCACUUUGAGAAAAAUUUAUGGAAGUAAAAGUAUUUCCUUUUGCUAAACAGUUACUGCUAUAUAAUGUCUUCACAGGGUGUAAGGUUUGGUAUUUAACUAUUUUAAUUACAGAGUACCAUGCCUAUUUGUGACUAACUUAAAAGAAGUUGGUGUCUUGGUGAGAAGUUCACAAGGUUUAGCUGUAGCUGAGUUUGGUGAACUGACUGGAGCUCUAGUCAGCAAUGGUAUAUGCGAAUGCCAAGUACAAAGAAUUUCAGGAAUGUAGAAUUGCACAGCACUGAUAAAGUUUGCUUUGUUCCCCUAUGUGACUUGACCCAUUGAGAAAAUGCGGUUCCCUAGGAAGUUUUAAUAGUUCAAAGUCCUUAGUUAAUAAAGAAAAAGGCCUCAACAUAAUUCAGCUUGUUUUCACCUGCUGCCUCAAAGAUUAACUUUCUUAACCUUAAUGGGAUAGAGUUACCCUUUGCUUUGAAAAAGUAAUUUAUUGAACUCUGCACAUUUGUUAGUUUCAGUAAACAUGACACUGUGUGUGUGGAUUUGGUUUUGGGUUUGGGUUUGGUGUCACAAACUACUAAGACUUCUGCAACCUGAGAACCUUAUGGUUACUUCAUCUAAAAAGUCUUGGGGAAAGGCACACCUACUGCUCUGUAUCAACUUAAUCUUUCACUAGACUAGGAAGAAUUUUGAAUUCCUCCAGGAGAGUAAUGACUGAUAGAGCUUAGCCUUCAGUUUUCCUCAUUUAUUUUCAUAAGAGAAUGGGAGUGGAAUUCAAAACAUUCAAAAUUGGAGUUAAUGUGCGUCACUCUGUUGCGAGUGAUAGGUUCUGUGUUUUUCCAGUGGGGAACUUUGAUCCACAAACUCAUGUAUGCCUGUUAUAGACCUCUUAUUUCUUUCUAUUUUUCUCCUCAUUGUUGCAUAUGCUUUCAAAAACUAUAUGACUAUACAAGUUGUCUCUGGGAGCAGAUUUCAGAGCAAAAGUGGUACUAUAAAACACGUAAGUCUUUUUUUAUGAGAAUUUAUAAUGUUUGAAAUAGACCUUUUAUGUUUUCAUUGAGAGUCUAAGCUUACUUAAAUUUAGUGUUUAAUGUUAAUGUGCACUUUCUGUUAUUAACAUAAUUUAAUUUCUGUGUUUGGUCAUUUUCACUCAAAGAAGGAUUUUAAUUGCAUAAUACAUGUUGGAGCCCUAUUAAGUAAUCCUGCCUUGUUUGUUUCUUAGCUAACAGUAAUGGAUAAAAGCAAUUUGCAUACAUUGUCUUAAUCUAUCACAAAAUCCUAUGGGAAUUUGGCAGAUAAAUAACAGACACGAAGCUUUUUGUUUUGAUUUUGGGACAUUUUCUAGAAUAUUUCUGUGUUGGAAUGAGAAUUUGGUAAUGUACAGAAUUGCUGCUUGUACAUCUUAGAAACACCUGCUAGGGACCAGUCUUUAGGUUAACCAGACAGAAAGAAGGUUCACCCCUCUUGACAGUGAGCGACUGUAAACAUCCUCGACUGGAAGCUGUGAAGGCACAGAUGGGCUUUCAGUCGGAUGUUUGCAGCUGCCUACUGCCUCAGACUUCAAGGAAUUACUUUAGGAGCAAUUACCUCGUGAGCUAAAACUGAAUACCUUGCUUUCCCUUUGAUUCAUUUUUACAAAGCUUGGGUGAAAGUGAUAUAAAUUAAAUGACUUUUAAACCAUCUCUUUGCAUCUUUAGAGGACUUCAGCAGGGUAGAAGGAGAGGUGUUCUGUGUGUGUAUACAAUUUGCGAUGUCAAAAAAGAAAAAAAGAAAAGAAGAGAAAAGAAAAGGAUGCAAAGUAUCCCUGAGAGAAGUGAGGAAAUGUAUUAUAGUCUCUUUGUUCUAAAAAAUAAGGUGUACUAGGGUAAUAUUUCACAAAUUACUCCAAAAAGUGAUUUGUCCCACUGUUUUAUUUAUCUAUAAUUGCAAAAUAGGUGUCUUUUAGAUCCACUCACAAACAUAUGAAUGAAGUAUAAAUUAUUUGAAAAGAGGAAGAAAAGGCCAGAAUAAAGAAUUAAUUCACUUUCACAUUACUGAAUUAAACUUUUUAUUUCCUUAUAGGUUCAGUCUUUAAGUAAUGAAGUUAGUUUUCAAUUUAAUGAAGUUCCUGAGAUAAACAGAUAUUUGAAAAAUCUACUUGUUCUCGUUUGUGCUGAUGAAAAUAGUAUUUUACGCCAUUGUUGAUACUGUCUUCAUUCAAUUGAACUGUUGACUUUGCUCUGUGUAAUAGCACAUAUCUCUUAAAAAUGAUGCAUGCAUCAAAUGCUGCCCUAACUAUACGAAGGCAACCUAAUACUUUUAAAAGAGUCCUGUUGUGGACCUCUGUGAAGGACCUAAUAACUUGUCUUUUUUGUAAAUCUAUGUUGGUCUCAUGGCAGAUUUGUUUAAUAUGAGACACUUAAAUAGUAGAAAUGAGACAUCAAAAGGAGGGGAAAAUAGCAUCCUUUGUCCUCUAAAACACAAUAUUUUCUAAACAUGCAGUAUUGUCUUUAACACAGAAUGUAUAGUUUCUGUUUCCAUUUAAUACCCACUGAUAAUGUCAGUAAAAGGUGAUACUGAAACAGCGUGACCACUAUUUAAAUUUUGACUACUAUUUAAAAUUUGACUAGACUACAGUUAAACAUUCUAAUUAGCUGGGAUGGAAGGAGACAUGUAUAGAAAUGCCUUUAAAUUUAUCUCAUACAUAAAGCCAUCAAGUGAAAAACUUCAGAUAGUCAUGCUGGGCCAUGAGAGGUUAGUACACUCCCCUGAAACAGGGGUGGGAGGGAUGGAGGCUUUCCAUCUGGUAGGCCCUGGGGUCUAGAAUGGAGAGUGCAGCUUGUUUUUUAAUAGGUAAACUUAAAACACUUAGAGCAAAUAACUCAGCUGUGUCCCAGGGAACUUAACCACAUUUCCUAGGUAAACAACUAUAGGUCUGGAGAAAUGGGUAAACUUUUCCUAGUUCCUUGACCUUCACUUUCUUUAGGUUCUCCUCCUAUGCUAUUUCAUAUCCCCUUUCUCGCCUCACUCCCCUCUAAAUGUUCUAUUUCCCACCUAUUUAGUUAUUUUCUUCAUUUAAGUGAUUACUUACUAGAAUAUUUUAAUUUUCAAAAAAUACGGCUUUCUCAAAUGUUCUUAAACAGAGAAAUACAAACCUCCAGAAAACAUGCUGGGUAGUUUUGAAAGUCAUACUUUUAAUUUAUUAUGCCUUGGGCCCCAUAUUUCACUAGAAAAAAAUCUAAAAUGCUAUUCUUUUUUUUUUUUAGA